GCCGGAGUGACGCAAUCGGCUAGACGUGGCAGACUCAAAAUCUGCUGGGCGAAAGCCCAUGAGGGUUCGAGUCCCUCCUCCGGCA
This 85-nucleotide transfer RNA is filed under the name Candidatus Limnocylindria bacterium. RNAcentral describes it as "tRNA-Leu". It matches the Rfam family "tRNA". Rfam says of the family: Transfer RNA (tRNA) molecules are approximately 80 nucleotides in length. Their secondary structure includes four short double-helical elements and three loops (D, anti-codon, and T loops). The record is from RNAcentral. RNAcentral also lists the same sequence under 1 other name. Lineage: Bacteria; Bacillati; Chloroflexota; Candidatus Limnocylindria.